RNAcentral lists this transfer RNA (56 nucleotides) under Ovis aries (sheep). It matches the Rfam family "tRNA", at positions 9 to 63 of the family's 71-position model. From Rfam's summary of the family: Transfer RNA (tRNA) molecules are approximately 80 nucleotides in length. Their secondary structure includes four short double-helical elements and three loops (D, anti-codon, and T loops). Further hydrogen bonds mediate the characteristic L-shaped molecular structure. tRNAs have two regions of fundamental functional importance: the anti-codon, which is responsible for specific mRNA codon recognition, and the 3' end, to which the tRNAs corresponding amino acid is attached (by aminoacyl-tRNA synthetases). tRNAs cope with the degeneracy of the genetic code in two manners: having more than one tRNA (with a specific anti-codon) for a particular amino acid; and 'wobble' base-pairing, i.e. permitting non-standard base-pairing at the 3rd anti-codon position. Lineage: Eukaryota; Metazoa; Chordata; Mammalia; Artiodactyla; Bovidae. The record is from Rfam by way of RNAcentral.
AGCUCAGAUGGUAAAGAAUCUGCCUGCAAUGCAGACAACCCAGGUUCGAUCCCUGG